GUUCUGGUGAUUCGUCGCAGGGGUCACACCCGAUCUCUUUCCGAACUCGGAAGUUAAGCCCUGUUGAGGCGAUGGUACCUCGCGCGAGCGGGGGAGAGUAGCUAGUCGCCAGAACA
Molecule: ribosomal RNA, 116 nt
Filed under: Parcubacteria group bacterium GW2011_GWA2_47_64
Lineage: Bacteria
Also listed under: 1 other name
Source: RNAcentral